RNAcentral lists this ribosomal RNA (483 nucleotides) under uncultured bacterium. Its description in RNAcentral is "partial 16S ribosomal RNA". It matches the Rfam family "Bacterial small subunit ribosomal RNA", at positions 28 to 507 of the family's 1533-position model. The record is from RNAcentral.
GACGAACGCUGGCGGCGUGCUUAACACAUGCAAGUCGAACGCUGAAGCUCAGCUUUUGUUGGGUGGAUGAGUGGCGAACGGGUGAGUAACACGUGAGUAACCUGCCCCCUUCUUUGGGAUGACGCCCGGAAACGGGUGCUAAUACUGGAUAUUCACUGGUCUUCGCAUGGGGGUUGGUGGAAAGGGUUUUUCUGGUGGGGGAUGGGCUCGCGGCCUAUCAGCUUGUUGGUGGGGUGAUGGCCUACCAAGGCUUUGACGGGUAGCCGGCCUGAGAGGGUGACCGGUCACAUUGGGACUGAGAUACGGCCCAGACUCCUACGGGAGGCAGCAGUGGGGAAUAUUGCACAAUGGGCGCAAGCCUGAUGCAGCGACGCCGCGUGAGGGAUGGAGGCCUUCGGGUUGUGAACCUCUUUCGCUCAUGGUCAAGCCGCAACAAUGGUUGUGGUGAGGGUAGUGGGUAAAGAAGCGCCGGCUAACUACGUG